This 498-nucleotide ribosomal RNA is filed under the name uncultured Glomeromycotina. Its description in RNAcentral is "partial small subunit ribosomal RNA". It matches the Rfam family "Eukaryotic small subunit ribosomal RNA", at positions 591 to 1092 of the family's 1831-position model. Lineage: Eukaryota; Fungi; Glomeromycota. The record is from RNAcentral.
CCAAUAGCGUAUAUUAAAGUUGUUGCAGUUAAAAAGCUCGUAGUUGAAUUUCGGGAUUCUUCGGUUGGUCGGGCUAUCCAGUCUGUACUAGCGUGUAGAAUUCCUACCUUCUGGGGAACCAUCAUGUUAUUAAUUUAGCGUGGUGGGAAACCAGGACCUUUACCUUGAAAAAAUUAGAGUGUUCAAAGCAGGCUUACGUCUGAAUACAUUAGCAUGGAAUAAUAGAAUAGGACGGUGGUCCUGUUUUGUUGGUUUCUGAAUCACCGUAAUGAUUAAUAGGGAUAGUUGGGGGCAUUAGUAUUCAAUUGUCAGAGGUGAAAUUCUUGGAUUUAUUGAAGACUAACUUCUGCGAAAGCAUUUGCCAAGGAUGUUUUCAUUAAUCAAGAACGAAAGUUAGGGGAUCGAAGACGAUCAGAUACCGUCGUAGUCUUAACCAUAAACUAUGCCGACUAGGGAUCGGACGAUGUUAAAUUUUAUUGACUCGUUCGGCGCCUUACG